This 497-nucleotide ribosomal RNA is filed under the name uncultured bacterium. Its description in RNAcentral is "partial 16S ribosomal RNA". It matches the Rfam family "Bacterial small subunit ribosomal RNA", at positions 28 to 507 of the family's 1533-position model. The record is from RNAcentral.
GAUGAACGCUGGCGGCGUGCCUAAUACAUGCAAGUCGAGCGAACAGAUAAGGAGCUUGCUCCUUUGACGUUAGCGGCGGACGGGUGAGUAACACGUGGGUAACCUACCUAUAAGACUGGAAUAACUCCGGGAAACCGGGGCUAAUGCCGGAUAACAUUUAGAACCGCAUGGUUCUAAAGUGAAAGAUGGUUUUGCUAUCACUUAUAGAUGGACCCGCGCCGUAUUAGCUAGUUGGUAAGGUAACGGCUUACCAAGGCAACGAUACGUAGCCGACCUGAGAGGGUGAUCGGCCACACUGGAACUGAGACAUGGUCCAGACUCCUACGGGAGGCAGCAGUAGGGAAUCUUCCGCAAUGGGCGAAAGCCUGACGGAGCAACGCCGCGUGAGUGAUGAAGGUCUUCGGAUCGUAAAACUCUGUUAUUAGGGAAGAACAAAUGUGUAAGUAACUGUGCACGUCUUGACGGUACCUAAUCAGAAAGCCACGGCUAACUACGUG